AGUGGCGGACGGGUGAGUAACGCGUGGGUAACCUGCCUCAUACAGGGGGAUAACAGUUAGAAAUGACUGCUAAUACCGCAUAAGACCACAGCACCGCAUGGUGCGGGGGUAAAAACUCCGGUGGUAUGAGAUGGACCCGCGUCUGAUUAGGUAGUUGGUGGGGUAACGGCCUACCAAGCCGACGAUCAGUAGCCGACCUGAGAGGGUGACCGGCCACAUUGGGACUGAGACACGGCCCAG
RNAcentral lists this ribosomal RNA (240 nucleotides) under uncultured bacterium. Its description in RNAcentral is "partial 16S ribosomal RNA". It matches the Rfam family "Bacterial small subunit ribosomal RNA", at positions 94 to 334 of the family's 1533-position model. The record is from RNAcentral.